AACGAACGCUGGCGGCAGGCCUAACACAUGCAAGUCGUACGAGAAGGUUCUUUCGGGAACUGGAGAGUGGCGCACGGGUGAGUAACGCGUGGGGACCUACCUCUUAGUGGGGGAUAACGGUUGGAAACGACCGCUAAUACCGCAUACGCCCUUCGGGGGAAAGAUUUAUCGCUAAGAGAUGGACCCGCGUUGGAUUAGAUAGUUGGUGAGGUAAUGGCUCACCAAGUCGGCGAUCCAUAGCUGGUUUGAGAGGAUGAUCAGCCACACUGGGACUGAGACACGGCCCAG
RNAcentral lists this ribosomal RNA (288 nucleotides) under uncultured Thalassospira sp. RNAcentral's name for it is "partial 16S ribosomal RNA". It matches the Rfam family "Bacterial small subunit ribosomal RNA", at positions 29 to 334 of the family's 1533-position model. Lineage: Bacteria; Pseudomonadati; Pseudomonadota; Alphaproteobacteria; Rhodospirillales; Thalassospiraceae. The record is from RNAcentral.